RNAcentral lists this ribosomal RNA (253 nucleotides) under uncultured bacterium. RNAcentral's name for it is "partial 16S ribosomal RNA". It matches the Rfam family "Bacterial small subunit ribosomal RNA", at positions 524 to 776 of the family's 1533-position model. The record is from RNAcentral.
UACAGAGGUCUCAAGCGUUGUUCGGAUUCAUUGGGCGUAAAGGGUGCGCAGGCUGCGGGGCAAGUCGGACGUGAAAUCCCGGGGCUUAACCCCGGAACUGCGUUCGAUACUGCCUUGCUUGAGGACUGGAGAGGAGACUGGAAUUCCUGGUGUAGCAGUGAAAUGCGUAGAUAUCAGGAGGAACGCCAAUGGCGAAGGCAAGUCUCUGGACAGUUCCUGACGCUCAUGCACGAAGGCCAGGGGAGCAAACGGG